CCCUUAGACGUUCUGGGCCGCACGCGCGCUACACUGACACAGGCAACGAGCUUUCCUUUACCGAAAGGUAUGGGUAAUCUUUUGAAACUGUGUCGUGCUGGGGAUAGAUCCUUGCAAUUUUUGAUCUUAAGCGAGGAAUUCCUAGUAAGCGCGAGUCAUCAACUCGCGUUGAUUACGUCCCUGCCCUUUGUACACACCGCCCGUCGCUACUACCGAUUGAAUGGCUUAGUGAGGCCUCAGGAUCCGCGCUUAAUGUGUGGAGAAUUUGGACAAACUACGUCAUUUAGAGGAAGUAAAAGUCGUAACA
RNAcentral lists this ribosomal RNA (307 nucleotides) under uncultured eukaryote. RNAcentral describes it as "partial 18S ribosomal RNA". It matches the Rfam family "Eukaryotic small subunit ribosomal RNA", at positions 1470 to 1796 of the family's 1831-position model. The record is from RNAcentral.